ACUGACGUUACAUUAUGUAGUUUACUUACUGUUAAAUUUGUUUUCGAAGCCGGUUUUAUCAAUUUUUAUCACUUACAAGCUGAGCGUAUAACAAAAUACGACGAGAAUAACAAACAAAUAGUUGUCUUCAUAAAGUUUCCACGUCGGGUAAUCAACAACAAUCAUUGGUCACUGAUCACGGUGAGAAAGAGAUUACAGUUUCUUUAUUAUGAAUGACAACUCCUCUCCUUGUUUCUCUUUUUGAUUUUACUCCUUUUUCUUCUCGUUCGACCUUAGAAAAAUAUUUGGCGCGCGUGCCACAUUUCAGUUCAGGGCGUGGUAGCGUAAGUUCGUCUCUGCGUACGCAGUUUAAGGCAGGAAAGGUGAGGAUUAAGUUAAGUCGAGGCGCAGUUUUUACCACUUCAUGGCAGCUCCUGCCACGAACGAACCGCGCAGCUCUGGCCAUGUUUUUUAGCGCUAUUCAGGCUUAAAGGUGAAGAAAAAGUCGACCGACAUAUAUGAUGUUGUCACGGCUGAUGGUGGAAUAAGUAAUCGUUGUAAAUGGAAAGGGCUUUGCGAAGAAUCAAGAUAUUCUUACAGCUGGUGGCCGAGUGACAAUUGAUCGGUGUAAAUGGACAGGUACUUUCUGGACGAAACUGGAAAGAUAUUUAUCUCAAAAGAAGCAGACGUAGGAUGGCAGUUUCAUCUUGAUAGCGCGAGUGUUUAAGAAUUGUACAAUCUGUAUUUUCAUUUUUUUUGAAUUAUAGCUCAUUACCCGGGUUUUAGGUCAGCGCUUGCUUAGCCGAUCCUGAUAUUCACCCCACGACAGAUUACCAACGUGGGCUAUGGUGGGUAAUGGUUUGGGAUAGUAUUGAUUAUCACCUCUUUGGACUGUCGUCUAAAACUAGUAAACUCUCUUUAAAUUGUGACUGCAAUGCGGCACGUCUUAUUUGGUGUAGCUUAUAUUAGUGUUAAUUGGCCACUAAUUGGACUGAAAAGUGGAUUUAUAAUAAGUAUAUCCUAAUUUCUCUUUGUAAACGAGAUUUUUUUUUGAAUAAGGUAUGUUGUGAGUCUUCAAAGAAACGCAGCUUAUGCUCUGUCUCAAAUUUCGUUCUGUGCCGGAAUCUUUGCAGUUUGUGUUAUUUUAAGUUUGAUUCCUUUUUCUCAAUGGAUGUUUGAUAAAUAUAACCAAUGUGAAUA
Molecule: non-coding RNA, 1179 nt
Organism: Styela clava
Lineage: Eukaryota; Metazoa; Chordata; Ascidiacea; Stolidobranchia; Styelidae
Source: RefSeq, a predicted model, not a curated record